This 27-nucleotide transfer RNA is filed under the name Hucho taimen (taimen). Its description in RNAcentral is "partial tRNA-Pro". The record is from RNAcentral. Lineage: Eukaryota; Metazoa; Chordata; Actinopteri; Salmoniformes; Salmonidae.
CAGAGGGUAGUUUAAUUUAGAAUCUUA